GUUAAUAUUUGUAUGAAAAAAAUUGCUUACUGAAAUUUUUUUGAUGCGUUUGUCAGGCUCCUGAUGUCAGGUGUAGCACAUGCAGGAUCCACAACAAAAAUUUGUUGUGAUGGAAGAUGAAGUUUGUGACCAUCACAUAAUUUUGGUGUUGGGACCUGUGCAAAAAAGGUUUUCAGAGGCAAACAACACCAGGAACAUCAGGGACACUAAAGGUGGUUUGUGCUGCUCUUUGCACCCCAGGUGUGGGCAUUUGAGGUGGAGCUCUGUAAAAGUGUGAUUUACCAGCACUUUUAUGUUUUUUUGUUGGCCGUUUUCCCCACCUCUCUUCUGCAAAAGCCACAUGACCUGAUGGCUUAUGAGGUCUAUUGAGAAGGUCUUCAGGAAGAUUGUUAUUCAUUAUGUGUUCCCUGUAACGUCCCUGCAAAGAUGUGUGCAUUGUCUGAAUGAAGUGUGCUGGCCGGACACAUGUUUUUUUUUGAAGAAUGCAUGUUUUCACAAUGCCAAACCAUUUUUCAACAUGACAGUUUGUGUCUCUGGUUUUGGAGUUUUCUGCGGAAGGAAGUAGUGACUCCAUGUCACAUGCGUAUCUUUUUAGAUCUCCGAGUAGAACCCCGCUCCAAAGUGGAUAGAUCCCCAGGUAAUUGUCCAGAAGGAACUUGAUUACAUCUGGACAAUAAUAAGGAUUUUCAACACUCUGAUGUUCUUCAUUUUCCAAGACAACCAUGACAUCAUCGUAGAUCUUCUUGAAAAGUUUGGAAAAUGGAGAACCACCAACAAUUGUUUUUGAUGAAUUUUCAUCCAUCUCCCACUUUUCUGAGUCAUCUUCUGUUUGGUCUUGAAGAAUAGCAUCUUCUUUUGUAAUGAGGCCCUCCAAGAAUUCAAGACUCUCUGUGACAUUUUUACUGACAUGUCUUGCGAGGAAAACAAUACAGAAGGGUCUGAAAAUGGCAAGGGCAUCAUCCACAUUAACAGUGUUUUGCAUCCUGGCAAAUACAUAUGUUGCCAUCUUUUGCAGCCCUUUGUCGUCUGUCUUCCUUUGAAAAGCUGAAGACACAGCUUUGAUGAUAUGAGCUGCACACAGGUGCAAAACUGUUGCUGAUUUUAUAUCUGCCCAGGUCUUUUGUUUUUGGCAGAUGGCAUACACCCUAUUAAGGUAAGCCGGCAUACUUUCUUUAUUAAAUGCCAAAAUUACUCCCUGCAUAAGUGCCCAGCUGUAAUCGGUCUCCACCUGGUGAAUUUGUUGACGGGUGUAUUUUGACAGUUUGAGGAGAAACUGCAUCAGCCAGAAAGUUAUAGGAGGAAUGGAAUGCUCGCUUGAUAUCAUCUCGCAUACUGGAAGUGGAGGUGCAUCUCUUCCUUUACCUGGCAAGGCUGUGAGUGAUGUUACCAGCAAGAAGUUCCUGAAUGGGUGUAAGAUGUUUCCAGUCCGGCACACAGUUAAAGGAAUAACUGUUUGAUGUUUGGCUGGUUUGGUCUUCAUGGUGAAGGAAUACCUUGCACGGCAUGUUGAAAAUUUACAUUUUGCACAUAUUUUUAAGUACCCACACAUACGCUUCCGGCUCCCUAUUGCUCGGACAUGCUGGUAUGUAAAGCGGAGGGGACAACAAGGAUUUUUUUUCUUGAACUGAUUGUACAAGUAGUGGGUCCAUGGUUGUCUUAGUUUAUUGGAGCAUUUCAAAGGGCAAAUUUUGUUCCAUACCUUUGAAUGAAGAAAAACUUUAAAUUUAGUUGGUGUUUGUGGCACAUGUCUAUAAGUUUGGUCCCCUGUUUUUGAUUCUGUCUUUUUUUCUGGAUUCUUUUUUAGUUCAUGGAUUGAGUUACUGUGGUUGUCAAUUGUUGGAGGAACCUCCAUCACCUCAAAGUUGUCACACUCAGUGUCUGUCUGUCCCCAGUCAUUGAUCUCCUCAGACUCCUCUCUAUCCAUUUCUGUUUCAUCUUUUUCCAAAAUCUCUGUCCGCAUACUUUUGGUUUCAUUUUCCUGUUUCUUUAAACACAUUGGUUGUAACGUAGUUCUUAUAUUUCUCCUGUCAUACGUCCAUAUAAUAAAAAGCCAUUGCCUGUU
Molecule: long non-coding RNA, 2062 nt
Organism: Megalobrama amblycephala (Wuchang bream)
Lineage: Eukaryota; Metazoa; Chordata; Actinopteri; Cypriniformes; Xenocyprididae
Exons: 5
Source: RefSeq, a predicted model, not a curated record